RNAcentral lists this ribosomal RNA (253 nucleotides) under uncultured bacterium. Its description in RNAcentral is "partial 16S ribosomal RNA". It matches the Rfam family "Bacterial small subunit ribosomal RNA", at positions 524 to 776 of the family's 1533-position model. The record is from RNAcentral.
UACGUAGGGUGCAAGCGUUGUCCGGAAUUAUUGGGCGUAAAGAGCUCGUAGGCGGCUUGUCACGUCGGAUGUGAAAAUCCAGGGCUCAACCCUGGACCUGCAUUCGAUACGGGCAGGCUAGAAUUCGGUAGGGGAGACUGGAAUUCCUGGUGUAGCGGUGAAAUGCGCAGAUAUCAGGAGGAACACCGGUGGCGAAGGCGGGUCUCUGGGCAACAACUGACGCUGAGGAGCGAAAGCGUGGGGAGCGAACAGG